AGACAGCAGACCUUGUGCAAUGCACUCUCCCACGGGCCUCCCAUUCCAAUUUCCCCUUUUUAAGCCUUUCUCCCCAGCCUAAAGUUUUAAGAGGUUUCUGGAGGCGUAAGGAUUCUAUUUAUGUUUAAUGAACAAAAAAAUUAGUUUCAAUGAAAACUUUAUUUGAAAUGAUGAAUUCAAGCUGUUACCAGCCUCCCAAGUAAGAUGCCAGAGACUUCAAACACUGCUGUUGUUUCUCAAGGAAAAGAUCCAGUUAACAAGGAAUCAUUCUCUCUUCUUCAAUAGCUGCUUACGAAAUAAAAACAUCAGUAGGAGGGGAAGGAGGAAGGAAGGAGAAGAAAGAGGAAGAAUAGGAGGAGAAGAGGAAGAGAGGAAGAAGUCGUGAACAGCCCUCCUGCAUUUUGCAUCAGAUCACAAGACCCUGGUUCCAGAGCGGUCCUGCUUUACACCGAGGGAAAGGAAUGUCAUACAGAAAGGCCAAGAAGAAUCUGAAGAGAUGUCCAAUCACCUUUUCACGUGGCUGCCCAUUCUUCAUUGAACCUAAGCAUUAAAA
RNAcentral lists this long non-coding RNA (553 nucleotides) under Homo sapiens (human). RNAcentral's name for it is "non-protein coding lnc-SPATA31A1-5:3". Lineage: Eukaryota; Metazoa; Chordata; Mammalia; Primates; Hominidae. The record is from RNAcentral.